GAUCAUGGCUCAGGACGAACGCUGGCGGCGUGCUUAACACAUGCAAGUCGAACGGAGCACACUUGAUUGAGGUUUCGGCCAAAUGAUAGGAAUGCUUAGUGGCGGACUGGUGAGUAACGCGUGAGGAACCUGCCUCUCAGAGGGGGACAACAGUUGGAAACGACUGCUAAUACUGCAUGACGCAUCGGAAGGGCAUCCUUCUGAUGUCAAAGAUUUUAUCG
This 221-nucleotide ribosomal RNA is filed under the name uncultured bacterium. Its description in RNAcentral is "partial 16S ribosomal RNA". It matches the Rfam family "Bacterial small subunit ribosomal RNA", at positions 15 to 217 of the family's 1533-position model. The record is from RNAcentral.